RNAcentral lists this ribosomal RNA (840 nucleotides) under uncultured bacterium. RNAcentral's name for it is "bacterial SSU rRNA". It matches the Rfam family "Bacterial small subunit ribosomal RNA", at positions 34 to 916 of the family's 1533-position model. The record is from RNAcentral.
CAGUUGCGGUCUGCUUACCAUGCAGUCGAACGGGUGUAGGAAUACAUUAGUGGCGGACGGGUGAGUAACGCGUGAGAAUCUGGCUUUAGGUUCGGGACAACCACUGGAAACGGUGGCUAAUACCGGAUGUGCCUUCAACGGUAAAAGGUUAACUGCCUGAAGAUGAGCUCGCGUCUGAUUAGCUAGUUGGUGUGGUAAGAGCGCACCAAGGCGACGAUCAGUAGCUGGUCUGAGAGGAUGAUCAGCCACACUGGGACUGAGACACGGCCCAGACUCCUACGGGAGGCAGCAGUGGGGAAUUUUCCGCAAUGGGCGAAAGCCUGACGGAGCAAGACCGCGUGAGGGAGGAAGGCUCUUGGGUCGUAAACCUCUUUUCUCUGGGAAUAAGAAAGUGAAGGUACCAGAGGAAUCAGCAUCGGCUAACUCCGUGCCAGCAGCCGCGGUAAUACGGAGGAUGCAAGCGUUAUCCGGAAUGAUUGGGCGUAAAGAGUCCGUAGGUGGCGAUUCAAGUCGAUUGUUAAAGAGCGGGGCUUAACCCCGUAGAAGCAGUGGAAACUGAAUCGCUAGAGAGAGGUAGGGGUAGAGGGAAUUCCCGGUGUAGCGGUGAAAUGCGUAGAGAUCGGGAAGAACACCAGUGGCGAAGGCGCUCUACUGGGCCUCAUCUGACACUGAGGGACGAAAGCUAGGGGAGCGAAAGGGAUUAGAUACCCCUGUAGUCCUAGCCGUAAACGAUGGAUACUAGGUGUUGUCUGUAUCGACCCGGACAGUGCCGUAGCUAACGCGUUAAGUAUCCCGCCUGGGGAGUACGCACGCAAGUGUGAAACUCAAAGGAAUUGACGG